GCAGUCUACGAGAACACUUCUUCGGAAGUUAUUAAAGUGGCGCACGGGUGAGUAAUGCCUAAGUAACGUACCCUUUCGCUGGGGAUAACUGGGGGAAACUUCAGCUAAUACCGAAUGAGCCGACAUUUUCUUUGGAUUUUGUCGGCAAAGCCUCACGGCGCGAAAGGAGCGGCUUGGGUCCCAUUAGUUUGUUGGUGGGGUAAAGGCCUACCAAGACUACGAUGGGUAGCUGGUCUGAGAGGAUGAUCAGCCACACUGGUACUGGAACACGGACCAGACUCCUACGGGAGGCAGCAGUUAGGAAUUUUGCGCAAUGGGGGCAACCCUGACGCAGCAACGCCGCGUGAGUGAUGAAGGCCUCUGGGUUGUAAAGCUCUUUUCUCAGGGAAGAAAAAAAUGACGGUACCUGAGGAAUAAGCACCGGCUAACUCCGUGCCAGCAGCCGCGGNNNNNNGGAGGGUGCAAGCGUUAAUCGGAUUUACUGGGCGUAAAGAGCACGUAGGCGGUUUGGCAAGUUUGAUGUGAAAGCCCACGACUCAAUCGUGGAAGUGCAUUGAAUACUGCCAGACUAGAGUAUAAGAGGGGAGAGCGGANUUCCUGGUGUAGAGGUGAAAUUCGUAGAUAUCAGGAGGAACAACGGCGGCGAAGGCGGCUCUCUGGAUUAUAACUGACGCUGANGUGCGAAAGUGUGGGUAGCAAACAGGAUUAGAUACCCUGGUAGUCCACACCGUAAACGAUGGAUACUAGAUGUCGGGAGAUUUACCCUUUCGGUGUCGUANCUAACGCGUUAAGUAUCCCGCCNGGGGAGUANNGNCGCAAGAUUAAAACUCAAAGAANUUGACGGGGGCCCGCACAAGCGGUGGANUAUGUG
Molecule: ribosomal RNA, 871 nt
Filed under: uncultured bacterium
Lineage: Bacteria
Description: bacterial SSU rRNA
Rfam family: Bacterial small subunit ribosomal RNA
Source: RNAcentral